This 1142-nucleotide long non-coding RNA is filed under the name Ananas comosus (pineapple). RNAcentral describes it as "long non-coding RNA (ACOM_LNC000519)". Lineage: Eukaryota; Viridiplantae; Streptophyta; Magnoliopsida; Poales; Bromeliaceae. The record is from RNAcentral.
AAUAAGUUGAUUUUCAGAAGCGGCCACACUAUUAAAUUCCUUUGCAAUAUGAUUAUUCUAAAUCUCCUCUUUUGAUUCUAAUUAUACUAUGAAUUAUUUGUAAAUUGUUUUUUACUUUGCUAACUCCAAUAAAAUAGUAUCUCACGCACAACAUAAAUUUUUCUCUUACAAAAUUUUUCAUACUACACAGCAUAUUCCUUGCCCUCUUGCUUUUUUUCUUAACUUUCUCUAUAUAUAGCAAUAUUGUUUAACAUCAUACACAGGGUUCAUGAAACAAAAAAUUGCAUAGUACAUUGAAUAUUUUUUGUACUUUUGCUAUCUUUCUUAUUAUUACAAUGCAUGCAUCUUCCCCCCAACUCUUUCUACUCAUAGCCCAUGUGAGUCAAUACAUGCCACUUGAACAUAGCCCAUGUGAGUCCAUGUAAGGGAGAGAGAACAUGUGAGGGAGAGAGAGAAAAUCCACCAUGUCGCUCGACGGAGAAACGGCAUUUGAUUUCAACUUUAGUAUAGAGUUUAAUGUGACUUUAUUGUGCCAAAAAGAGUUAUGGCAAAAGUACAUAAUAUUGAUAGUCAUGUGAAUUUAUUGCGGCAAAAAGAGUUAUGACAAAAGGAUAUGUAAAUACUUUAUUUGUUUUAUAUAAAACUACAACAAUUAUAUUAUAACCAGAUAUUUGUGAUCUAUUGUGGUCUAUAUAACUUGACAUUAUAUAUAAAAAGGAAAAAUUAAGGCUCUUUUUUGGAUGUAGGAAUGUACAAUUGGGUAAUAUUCUAUUUGGUACGAAAAUCUUUUAUUAUGAUUGAAAUCUAAAACUGCAAUUAAUGUCAGCAAUAAAAUAAAAUAUUUAUCUUUCAAAUCGUACUUCCAAAAUAAGAUAAAUCAUUCUGUAGGUUAUAUAAACAAUCUUAUCAAAAUAUGAACAUCAAAAUUAUUUAAGAAACAAAAAUCAAACCGUAUAUAUUAAUUACACAAAAAAAAUUUCAUACUGAAUAGUUUCUCAUUGAUAGCUUAUUUCAAUGCCCAAAUGAAGUCUAAAUAUUUUUAUCAUUGUACUUUCUUACCGUACGCUAGUUCAGUAAUUGUUAUUCUGAUUGCAUCCUUGAGAUUGGGAUUUAAUCUCAGCCUUUCCUUUGAAAAAAAAAAA